RNAcentral lists this ribosomal RNA (376 nucleotides) under uncultured organism. RNAcentral's name for it is "partial 16S ribosomal RNA". It matches the Rfam family "Bacterial small subunit ribosomal RNA", at positions 527 to 896 of the family's 1533-position model. The record is from RNAcentral.
GUAGGUGGCAAGCGUUGUCCGGAAUUAUUGGGCGUAAAGCGCGCGCAGGCGGUUCUUUAAGUCUGAUGUGAAAGCCCACGGCUCAACCGUGGAGGGUCAUUGGAAACUGGAGAACUUGAGUACAGAAGAGGAAAGCGGAAUUCCACGUGUAGCGGUGAAAUGCGUAGAGAUGUGGAGGAACACCAGUGGCGAAGGCGGCUUUCUGGUCUGUAACUGACGCGGAGGCGCGAAAGCGUGGGGAGCAAACAGGGAUUAGAUACCCUGGUAGUCCACGCCGUAAACGAUGAGUGCUAAGUGUUAGGGGGGUUUCCCGCCCCCCUUAGUGCUGCAGCUAACGCAUUAAGCACUCCGCCUGGGGAGUACGGCCGCAAGGCUG